Molecule: transfer RNA, 71 nt
Filed under: Claviceps purpurea (ergot fungus)
Lineage: Eukaryota; Fungi; Ascomycota; Sordariomycetes; Hypocreales; Clavicipitaceae
Description: tRNA-Arg
Rfam family: tRNA
About the family: Transfer RNA (tRNA) molecules are approximately 80 nucleotides in length.
Source: RNAcentral
GCCCUGUUAGCUCAAUGGCAGAGUCGAAUGCUUCUAACAUUUUUAUCUUAGUUCGAAUCUAAGACAGGGUA